UGGGGAAUUUGGGCAAUGGGGGAAACCCCGAUCCAGCCAUCCCGCGUGUGCGGUGAAAGCCUUCCGGUUUUAAAGCACUUUUGGCAGGAAAGAAACGUCAUGGGUUAAUACCCCGUGAAACUGACGGUACCUGCAGAAUAAGCACCGGCCAACCAAGUGCCAGCAGCCGCGGUAAUACGUAGGGUGCAAGCGUUAAUCGGAAUUACUGGGCGUAAAGCGUGCGCAGGCGGUUCGGAAAGAAAGAUGUGAAAUCCCAGAGCUCAACUUUGGAACUGCAUUUUUAACUACCGGGCUAGAGUGUGUCAGAGGGAGGUGGAAUUCCGCGUGUAGCAGUGAAAUGCGUAGAUAUGCGGAGGAACACCGAUGGCGAAGGCAGCCUCCUGGGAUAACACUGACGCUCAUGCACGAAAGCGUGGGGAGCAAACAGG
Molecule: ribosomal RNA, 428 nt
Filed under: Acidobacteriota bacterium
Lineage: Bacteria; Pseudomonadati; Acidobacteriota
Description: Acidobacteria bacterium partial 16S ribosomal RNA
Rfam family: Bacterial small subunit ribosomal RNA
Source: RNAcentral